GUUUGAAAUCAUAUUACCAUAAAAGAAAGAAUAAGGAUUGUGUCUAAUGCACCGGAUCCCAUCAAUACUCUGAAGGUAAGUGUGCUUGGACAAGAAUAGUACUAGGAUGGGUGACCUCCUGAGAAGUCCUUGUGCUGCACCUU
This 143-nucleotide ribosomal RNA is filed under the name Amborella trichopoda. Lineage: Eukaryota; Viridiplantae; Streptophyta; Magnoliopsida; Amborellales; Amborellaceae. The record is from RNAcentral.